This 247-nucleotide ribosomal RNA is filed under the name uncultured bacterium. RNAcentral describes it as "partial 16S ribosomal RNA". It matches the Rfam family "Bacterial small subunit ribosomal RNA", at positions 333 to 594 of the family's 1533-position model. The record is from RNAcentral.
ACUCUCCUACGGGACGCAGCAGUGGGGAAUAUUGGGCAAUGGGCGCAAGCCUGACCCAGCAACGCCGCGUGAAGGAAGAAGGCUUUCGGGUUGUAAACUUCUUUUGUCAGGGACGAAGCAAGUGACGGUACCUGACGAAUAAGCCACGGCUAACUACGUGCCAGCAGCCGCGGUAAUACGUAGGUGGCAAGCGUUAUCCGGAUUUACUGGGUGUACAGGGCGUGUAGGCGGGGAAGGAAGUCAGCUG